Molecule: long non-coding RNA, 1079 nt
Organism: Mesocricetus auratus (golden hamster)
Lineage: Eukaryota; Metazoa; Chordata; Mammalia; Rodentia; Cricetidae
Exons: 3
Source: RefSeq, a predicted model, not a curated record
UAUGGACCAUCUCUGGUGGAAGCCUUGGAUCAAGAGGCUUAGGACACUGUCAGGCUAACCCUGAAUGUCUUUGUCAUUGGGAUAUGGACCAUCUCUGGUGGAAGCCUUGGAUCAAGAGGCUGAGAUGAGGAGGCUGAUGAUGCCAGCAGUUCCUGGAGAGGAGGGAAAGUGUUAAUCUGAAGGAAAUUGCUACCUCAGAGCCUAUACUCUAGACCCUCUGUGAAGAGCAGGGACAUCACUCAACCCUUCUUCAGUCAUGUGCCAGACAGAGAGCUCAGUAACUGCCCCCCGGAAAGUGCUUGCACGGAGGUGUUCCUUAUGGAUGCACUCCCACAUGGCUUCUGUCUUGGGCCGGUGCCACGUGCUGCCUGCAGCUCUUCACAGCUGAUGUUCCACAACUUGGAGUCUCCAUUGCAGCCUCAGCUGCACACAUCACCUCAGCGAUGUCUCUAUGGGGUUCCAACCCCACAACAAGUGGCCUGGACUCCAAUGGCUUCCUUUGAAAUCUGAGAGGAAGCCUCCAUGAUCCCACAUCUCUUGCAUUCUGCAUGUCUACAAAACCAGUAUCAUACAAAUAUUACCAAUUAAUACCAAGGAAUACCGAAAUGGAUUUGUUGCUGGCUUGAGGGCCAGCUUGGGUUUAGCCUUUCAGAUGAAAAUACUCAUCUAGCUGUUCCUGCACCUACAGGGUGCCAUGGGGGCUUCUCAGAUGUACCUUUUAGGUGAAUUAAAACCUUUAUAUCUCUGAUCCUGUAAUGGAAGAGGUUCUGCCAAUUCCUCAGAUGCCCCAAAGGCAUCUUUCCCAUUGCCACCUCAUUACUUUCACCUAUAUAACACCCAUGCCCCUUUUGCCUGAAACUUUGAACAUAUCACAUUUGUGGUCAAGCAGCACAUUUUCCAAGCCUUUCCAUUUGGCUUUUAAUGCUCUCACUUCUAAGUAUAAACUUGGCCAAAAGCAGCCAAGCAACAUUCAUGCCACACACUAGAUGUUGUGCCAUCUUGAAAGUCCCCCCACCAAAUCAAUUAGUUUAUUGCAUUCUAAUUCAGCCUCAUUCAAAGUCGUAGGACAUGGACAAAAC